RNAcentral lists this ribosomal RNA (253 nucleotides) under uncultured bacterium. Its description in RNAcentral is "partial 16S ribosomal RNA". It matches the Rfam family "Bacterial small subunit ribosomal RNA", at positions 524 to 776 of the family's 1533-position model. The record is from RNAcentral.
UACAGAGGGUGCGAGCGUUGUUCGGAAUUAUUGGGCGUAAAGGGCGCGUAGGCGGUGCGGUAAGUCACCUGUGAAAUCUCCUGGCUCAACUGGGAGCUUGCAGGCGAAACUGCCGUGCUGGAGUGUGGGAGAGGUGCGUGGAAUUCCUGGUGUAGCGGUGAAAUGCGUAGAUAUCAGGAGGAACACCUGUGGCGAAAGCGGCGCACUGGACCACAACUGACGCUGAGGCGCGAAAGCUGGGGGAGCAAACCGG